This 253-nucleotide ribosomal RNA is filed under the name uncultured Oscillospira sp. Its description in RNAcentral is "partial 16S ribosomal RNA". It matches the Rfam family "Bacterial small subunit ribosomal RNA", at positions 524 to 776 of the family's 1533-position model. Lineage: Bacteria; Bacillati; Bacillota; Clostridia; Eubacteriales; Oscillospiraceae. The record is from RNAcentral.
UACGGAGGAUUCGAGCGUUAUCCGGAUUUACUGGGUGUAAAGGGCGUGUAGGCGGGACUGCAAGUCAGAUGUGAAAUUCCAGGGCUCAACCCUGGAACUGCAUUUGAAACUGUAGUUCUUGAGUGAUGGAGAGGCAGGCGGAAUUCCGUGUGUAGCGGUGAAAUGCGUAGAUAUACGGAGGAACACCAGUGGCGAAGGCGGAUUGCUGGACAGUAACUGACGCUGAUGCGCGAAAGCGUGGGGAGCAAACAGG